CGCCGGGAAAUUGAGUCCUCCAGCCGGCACUCUGCUCCCGUUCGCCAUGGCGUGUGGACUACAUCCCCCGGCAUGCUGCGCUCGCCGAUACCGGGCAUGCACACGUGGGCAGGCUGGAUGCGGAAGGAGUGUGGAGACAAUGGGCGAAGGGGAUCUUUUUUCGACAAUAAAAAACAAGAAAGAUUGCACACGCGGUUCAAAAAUAAAGUGCCGUGGGCUCUGCAAGCAGCGGUUAAUUAUACGAAAUGGCAAAUAGAAGUACGUCCUUUUAUUCAGAGGCUAUGCUCUCUGGUCCUAGACAUGCCCACUACUGGAAUCAUCUUCUCCACAUCCACUCUGACUAGGAAUGAUUUUCUCCAUUUCCACUUAUCAUUUCAACCGGAAUCUAUCAGAGUAAAAAAAAAAUUGGAGCGCUAUCAGCGUUUCCACUUUGACGGCAAUUACUCGAAAUUCUGGUUCCGGCCGCUGGAAGUUUUGGGGAAAAGAAAUUGUGACAAUCCGUGCCAGCGCAGAUCGGGGAAGCCAUUGACGCAGUAGCAAUGCAAAAUGACGCUGCCUCUCCACGCAUGUGCAGUGGGCCCGGGCGGGUUCAGAUCUCCAUUUGCACUCCACACAAUCACCUCGAUGCCUCGUGUCUACUCCAGAACAGCAGUCGGUACAAUUCUUCCACAUUAGCUGCAGCCCGAGAAAAUAUAUCUCGGACAGGCAGGAGAAAAAACGCAUUUUAACCAUGCCCCCACCCCUCAAAGGCGCCAAAGUCACGCAC
Molecule: long non-coding RNA, 766 nt
Organism: Amblyraja radiata (thorny skate)
Lineage: Eukaryota; Metazoa; Chordata; Chondrichthyes; Rajiformes; Rajidae
Exons: 4
Source: RefSeq, a predicted model, not a curated record